This is a long non-coding RNA of Homo sapiens (human), 4494 nucleotides long. RefSeq lists it as uncharacterized. The transcript is spliced from 4 exons. NCBI's taxonomy places the organism in Eukaryota, Metazoa, Chordata, Mammalia, Primates, Hominidae. The record is from RefSeq and is a predicted model, not a curated record.
AGAAGCAGAUGGUACUGCUGAACCAAAUGUGUGAAAGGCUAGUAACUCAUAGAUGCAUAUAAUUUUUAGAGUUGGAAGAGACCAAGGAGUUAAAUUCAUCUAACUCCCAUUCUAUAAGUAUUUCAGAUGACUGCAGUUGUGUCCUCAUCAUCAAUCUCUAAAUGAAGUUACUUGAAGCAAUUCUUGAAACCAUAAUAAUAAUGUCUCCAGAAUUGGUGGAUUCUUGGUCUCACUGACUUCAAGAAUGAAGCCACGGACCCUCGCGAAGGACUUUGGACAACAAUUUCUUUGACUGAAACUGGGGUCAGAGUUGCAGACUCCCUGGAACAUGAAAAGUCAAUAAUCUAGUUCCCAAAAGGCAGACAAGAAACUAUUCCCAAGAUGAACAAAUGAUGAGAAUAGAGGUAAAGGUGAAAAUGAUGUGCUGUCAGCUGUGAAAUGAGAAAGCCUUCCAUCAGACCCUGGAAAAGAUGUAAAGAGCUGUACUUCAGAAAAAUAUUGGAGAAAAGUACAAAUCUUAAAAAAAUUUUUUUGAGUAGUGCAUUUCAUCAGCAGAUGCUGUCAAUUUUGUUAUACUGGUAACAGAUAUCUAUGGAAAAUGAAAUUCUCAACAGCACAUUGCCAGCAUGUUCCCCCACAAAAACAGCCAUGGUUAAAUAAAAUAGAAAUUCUUGCACAUGAUUAGAAAUUUGCAAAAGAGAUUAAAUGUGGCAUUGAUAUAAUAAAGCCUUUGAUUAACUAACAAAACUUCAUCAGGUAUCUAAAAGAGCUGUUUGAAUUUCUAACCAAGUCAGAACACCAGCUAUUACACUCCUUAAAACAAUUAUGCCCCAAAUUAACAUCUUAUAUGCAAAAACAUUUUGUCUGUUUUGAAGACUAACAAAGACUGGAAAAGCAUGAGAAAGAUGAGUAGUUAUCACUUCAAUAGUGUUUGGAUUAUUGAGUUAUGGUUAAUUGAUGGUCUUUAAUAGGAUUUACAAAGCUAGUAUCAUAGACGGUCAGGGAAAUCCUCUUUCCAAACAUUAUAUAGUUAAGUCACAGAAGAUGCUGUGGAAAAUAGACCCAAAUAGUGCCUAUAAGUAUAGUUGGUAUGAAUUGAAGCACUACAAGCAGUGAUAGAGCUGUGUGGAAGACAGAAGACAAACAUCACACUUUUAAGUUUGCCGAUCUACCCUGGAAUAAAUUGAUGUUACAAUCCUUGAUGUUUGUAUUUCUGCUCUGUUGCUCUAAGUGAGAAUAUAGGAUGUACUUUGAGAGAUUACAGUAAGUUGUAGGAGUUCCUCACUCAUAUAAAUGGAUUGAACAGGGCCAGGUGCGGUGGCUCAUGCCUGUAACCCUGGCACUUUGGGAGGAUGAGGUGGGAGGAUUGCCUGAGCUCAGGAGUUCAAGGCCAGCCUAGGAAACAUGGGAAGACCCUGUCUCUAUGAAUGAAUGAAUAAUAAACAGAUUUAAUGAAUUCUGGAUCUGCUGUAUUUAUCGCAUAUCAUGUAUAAUAUCUUUAUGUAUGGUUAAUAAAUUCUAAAUAGAAAAGGUUAAUAAAUGAAUCAACAAGAUUGGGUACCAGAACACCAAGUAGAUAAGAUAUUAUCCAAGCCACACGAUUAUAGAGAACAUCCUCACAUUUUGGCAGCAGCAUAAAACAGACAAACAUCUACAUUAUCUCAUUUUUCCUGAAGAAAACAGAACUUCACAUGAGCUGAAAUGAAUGCUUGGUAUCAUGAUGGGUCUCUGUCAUUGUCCUUGGUAUGUCCUCUAAAGUAAAAACAGGAAAAUCCUCUUCUGAAUACCUAAUGAAGUAAGGUUUCAGCAAAGUCUUGUAGAAACUUAUGUUCUCUAGUCUCUAAGAAUUGAAAGGUGGGAGGGGCUUGGCUAAAGGAAUACUUGUUUGGUACUGGAGAAAAUGAAAAAGCAAAAACAUGGGAAUUCUGGGGUUCCGUGCCUCGCAAAUAUUUGUCUUGGGUGACAAAUUUUUUUCCAAAUUCUGAUUGUGUGGCUCCUGUUUCAGGAUGGGCUCUUUGAAGCUUUAAACAUUAAUCAGAGACUAUAUUCAGGUAUAAAGCAAGCCUGUGACCUUUGUCCAAGGAUUCAGUUCAGUCUUGUAAAUCAGAAAUUCAAAUGUCAAAUCAUUCAUGAUUUAUUCAGCUUUGGAUAUGGGCAUUUAGAAACACAUGCUGUCAAAGUAUAGAGGUGUAUUUUUAGUCAUUUGAGGCAUAUUCUCUGAAGUCUAUCCCAUCUACAAAGAUACAUACAUUUCCUUUAUGUAAUUUUAAAUUAUAAGAAUGGGGAACGUCUUUGACAGGACUAGUUUAUGCCAGUUAAGAUGCUGAAAGGCCAGCAAAGUCUUUGAUAGGGGAAAGGCCAUGAAUUUCUAGAUCACAUUUCAUAUUGAGAGAGUGGCUCAUUGUGGGAGCUAUUCACUUAAACAGAUUUAUUCUAUAUUUCAAUGUGCAAAUUAGUAUUCAAUGUAGCUAAGAGACAGUUUCAUGCUUGGAGCCAUGAACAGGGAGGUUUGAAAACAAAUCACAGUGUGAGGCAAAGUAGGGUCAAUUAAGGGGGUUGCCAUUUAGACAAGUCCCAUAGAUGGGAUAAGGUUUUCUUUUUGGUGAGCCUUUGGACAGGAUGAGAAGGUCAGUUGUGGACAGUAACCUCAAACUAAAGGAACUGAAAUAAGUUUCUGAGCUUUAUUCAGUAUAUUCAACAGAGACAAACUGUCCAAGAUACCCUAUUCUUCCUUAGUGAGUUGAGCAAGGGAGUGGAUCACACGUUCUCAGCUGACAUUGACACAGCCUGAGGCCUAUGGAAAGGGAAUGAGGUAGUCUUCUUAUCUGUGAGGGAAUCUGAAACUUCAGUGAGUCCUUAGUCACCUAAGAAGGGUUGUCUUUUGGGAGGAACGAGGGCAACCUUACAGGUAUAAAUCCUUCCUUUUUAGAAAACAAUACAAGGUAUUACUCUACACAUAAUUAGGAGAUAUUCAAAAGAAUCUUCUUUAUUUUGAUCAGUAUUUAUUUAUUUAUUUAUAAAUUUCUGUCAGGGUGGGGGAAAAUCUUGUUCAAUACAGAUUCCACCAGGAUUGUAGCUAAGUCACAGACAGCCUAUGCAGUGUCCAGAUAUCCACAUGCUGAGGUGAACUUCAUCUUCAAGGUAUUUAUCUAUGCAUACCAGCAUCCAUGGAGAUGCUAAUAACUAACCAUGCAGAUUGUUGCCAAAUGUUCCCUAAUUCUUGACCUUAAGGACUCUUUAGGAUCAGCAUUCUCUUAGCCACUUUGUGGCUCACUCAGAUCUAUCUAUCUGCCUAAACAUAACACUCAACCAUUCUUAUUCUGUGGUUCUGCCACUGCACUGAGCUCCACCUGGUAAUGGGGACAUUGAUUCUGUUGUUUUCACAUCCCCCAAGCUGAUUUGGGGUUCUGUUGUCCCCCCUCCCCACUAGAGAUUAAUCUUGGGUGAACAGGAGAGAGGUAGUCUCAGAGUAUGGGAGUCCUUCUUAUUCGCUGUAACAGGCACAGAUUAUUGUAGCUCAAAUAACAGAAAUCCUAGCCAACAGUGGCUUAAAUAUCUCACAUAACCAGAGGUCUGGAAAUGCAGACCAGGACUGGUAUAGCAGCUUAGUUAUACUGCCAAGAAUUCAUCUUCUUGCCAUAUUUCCUCUUUGUCUUCCUCAGCUUUUGGCUUCUAUUAUUGUGGUUGUCAUUAUUGUGCUUUUCAUGUUCACAAGAUGACUGCCACAUCUCCAUGUCACAUCCAUGGUCAAGGUGGGAAAAAGGAGUUAGCACCAACUACGUUCCACUCAAUCAGAAAAGCAAAAGCUUUCUCAGAAACUUCCCAGAAAAAUUUCCCUUUACCACAUUGGGUUAGCCAAUUACAAAUGACUGGUACAAGAACCCAUGGAUAUUUAAGUUCUCAGUUUUCUUCAGAUUCUCUUCAUCCCUCAUAAUCCCAGGAAACUUGUUAUAGUCUGUCUAGGACAGAUACUAACUUGGCUCAUUGACUACCCACUUCCAGUCACAUUCUCCAUUGCUUUCCUCUACUCUACAGGUUAGAGAGCUCUAAAUGCUUAAUUUCUCAGUUUCUCUUGGUUCUAAGGAUGGUCAUGUGACCCGGUUCUAGCCAGUCGGGUGUGUGUGUGUGUGUGUGUGUGUGUCUUCCUUUCCUGAAUAAAAAAGGCAAAGGCUCACUAGGAAAUUCUCUUUGUCAUUCCCUCCUCUUCCUAUAUGGAACAUAGCUUUGAUGCCUGAAGGUACAACAAACAUCUCAUGACUAUGAGGGGAUGAAAAUGGAUACCAAGGAUACCAAGAUGAUGGAACAAAAAGAAUUGAUUUGGAACAUGACGGCACUAUGGAUUCAUCGUAUUGGACCUCUGUGAUAUAAUUCUGAACUUUUCAUAUAAGACUAAUAUACCCCUACUUGUUUAAUACAACUGUAGAGUUAUCUGCUACUUGCAGCCAAAUGUAAUCCUAACUAAUAUAGGCAAUAAAUCAUGUUUUUAUAUCACUA